GACUUUCACCAUGUUGCCCAGACUGGUUCCAAACUCUGGGCUCAAGAGAUCCUCCCAGGUUGGCCUCCCAAAGUGCUGGGAUUGCAGGUGUAAGCCACUGUGCACAGCCCUACUCAUGUGACUUAUACAAAGUCAGAGCAGUGAGCAGGAAGAGAACAGAGACUUCAGCGAGUCUCCUGGCUGUGGCAACGCCAUAUCCCUCCUCCAUACCGUAAUGUGUCUACACCCACCAAGCUCCUAGACGUUGAAGGCAGGUCAGCUCAGAGACGAAACAGCAGUCAAGAAAGAGAAGAUGCAGACACGCGUCUUGAUUUCAGCUCGAGCGUGCCUCUCUGCCCUGCAGCUGCACAGGCAGAAACCAGGGGCCGUGAGUCUGAGGCAGUGUGUUCGGUUCGUGGCAGGCCGUGAACACUGACUGCAUGUCUACUAUGGCCAGGACUCCAAGGGAGGCACCCUAGGGAACACAGAUGACCGCAGCACAGCGACAACCUCAAGGAGCACACACGGGGAAGGCAAGAUGAUACAAUCGAAGA
Molecule: non-coding RNA, 533 nt
Organism: Chlorocebus sabaeus (green monkey)
Lineage: Eukaryota; Metazoa; Chordata; Mammalia; Primates; Cercopithecidae
Source: RefSeq, a predicted model, not a curated record